Long non-coding RNA from Mastomys coucha (southern multimammate mouse), 1672 nucleotides. RefSeq lists it as uncharacterized. The transcript is spliced from 2 exons. Lineage: Eukaryota; Metazoa; Chordata; Mammalia; Rodentia; Muridae. The record is from RefSeq and is a predicted model, not a curated record.
GGCCUGGCGGGGCCCGGGGAGCCUCAGCACGCGCCCCUCGACGGGGCGGCCAGGGCAGGCGUCUGCCGCCCUACACGCCUAGCUCAGGCUGCCCGCCCAAGGUGCUGCUUAUCCGCGGGCUGGAGAAGCCGGGACCCGGGGUCCCCCGCCCGAGAGGGCGCAGAGCAGGAGUUGCAGCCGCACGGUGCAGCUGUACUCGCGCUCCAGACUCCUGCUGCUGCCGCUCAUCAACCUGCUCAGCAUCUUCCCGCCCGCUCGCCCGUCCUCGGGAGCGACGCGGCGGCGCUGCGGACUCCGGACUCGUCGCCCCUCAGCGCGGCAGCUCCGCGCCGGCCCUUAGCACCUGCACCAUCCCCCUGGCCGGAUCGCCACCGCUGCCUCCUCCCGCCCCACUCUUCUUCCUUCUACAGAGCCACCACCGCCUCCCCCAAACCCCAAGCAAGCUGGGUUCUCUCCCGGGCGCCCCACUGCCCGUGCCCAGCUCAUGGGGCGGGGCCUAGGUAGGGGGCCAAUGGAGGUCAGCGCGGCGGAACCGAUUAGCAGGAGGAAGAGCCAAUCAGGAUAAGGAAUGGGUAUGAUGAGCGGGCGGAGGAAGCAAUCAGCGCAAAACAGCAGUACUGAGCCCAGUCGGACCAGCCCCCUAGCGCCCCAAGCCCUGGCUCGCUCCCUUCGCGGGCGGUGGUUGGUAUGGAUGCUGUUUGUCCUGGGCCGGGCCAUGUGUGGACACUUCACAAGAUCGGUGUCUACAACCUGGAAUAACAUGUGAGCUGUUUCAGGAAUCAAGUCUUGCACCCUGCAACAUCGGGUUUCUGCCCUCUUGGAAGCAAAGCGAGGAGGCGGCACCUGCAGAAAACAGUCACCCACGAUUCCCGACCUGGCGGCUGCCCCCACCUGUGCGCUGCCCUAAGUCAGCUCCAUGGGCCCCUGUGCCUCUAGCUCCCUUAUAUUGGGGAACAUCUGUUUUACAAUAGCUAUUUGCUCUGGUGCAACCACAGGAGCUUGCAAAGCGCCCGCGAUUAGCGCUUAGAAAAUCCUACUCUCUAACCCUUCUUUUAUUUUCAGAAGACAAAAGGAGGCUGAGGUGUGCUUCUUAGCUGGGCAAGGAACAGGAAGUGGUGGACCUUUCCUUGUACUUUUAGAAAGAAUUAUUACAUCUUCAGACUUCUGCAACAAAGCACAACGGUCAGGAGCUGUAUAGCACAAAGAACCGGAGGGGGGAAAAUGCCUCCUUUCCUUUGUGUCCUCCGCAUCAGCAGACUUAAAGUUCCUUCCCAGAACUUCACUAAGAGACAGUCACCUUCAAAGGUUUUCUUACUAAUAAUAUCAAUGUGUGUCCGUGCAUGGCAUAUGAACACUCAGGUGCCACGCACGAGCGUGAAGGUCAGAGGACAACUUGGUGGAAUCAGUUCUUUCCUCCCACCUUUAUGUGGGUUUCCGUGAUUAAACUCGGGUGGCCAGACUGGCCUGGCAAGCACCUGUACCGUCUAAGCUAUCCCACUGGCUCUACCUUCAAAGAUUUCAGUGAGAGGAAAUGUUAAAAAGGAAUUUGAUUGGAAUAGGGGUGUAACUCAAUGGUAGAGCCCUUUCCUAGCAGGUGACAAGAUCCAGCACUGAAACAAUGUCAAUACAAAACAUUAGUGCUAUGAGAAAUAUAUUCGCUUAAAAUAAUGAA